This 68-nucleotide transfer RNA is filed under the name Cheliceroides longipalpis. RNAcentral's name for it is "tRNA-Ile". The record is from RNAcentral. Lineage: Eukaryota; Metazoa; Arthropoda; Arachnida; Araneae; Salticidae.
AUUAAGGUGCCUGAUUAAAAGGGUUAAUUUGAUAGAUUAAUUUAUGAAUUAUUAUAAUAUCAUUACGA